This 468-nucleotide ribosomal RNA is filed under the name uncultured bacterium. RNAcentral describes it as "partial 16S ribosomal RNA". It matches the Rfam family "Bacterial small subunit ribosomal RNA", at positions 28 to 507 of the family's 1533-position model. The record is from RNAcentral.
GACGAACGCUGGCGGCGUGCUUAACACAUGCAAGUCGAACGGAAAGGCCCUGCUUUUGUGGGGUGCUCGAGUGGCGAACGGGUGAGUAACACGUGAGUAACCUGCCCUUGACUUUGGGAUAACUUCAGGAAACUGGGGCUAAUACCGGAUAGGAGCUCCUGCUGCAUGGUGGGGGUUGGAAAGUUUCGGCGGUUGGGGAUGGACUCGCGGCUUAUCAGCUUGUUGGUGGGGUAGUGGCUUACCAAGGCUUUGACGGGUAGCCGGCCUGAGAGGGUGACCGGCCAAAUUUGGGAUUGAAUUCCGCCCCAGACCCCUCGGGAGGGAAGAAGGGGGAAUUAUGGACAAAGGGCGGAAGGCUUGAGGCAGCAAGCCGCGGGGCGGGAUGAGGCCCUCGGGUUUGUAAACGGCUUCGGCUGGGACGGAGCGGGGGGUGCCGGUAAGGGUUAAGAAGCACCGGCUAACUACGUG